This 465-nucleotide ribosomal RNA is filed under the name uncultured Klebsiella sp. RNAcentral describes it as "bacterial SSU rRNA". It matches the Rfam family "Bacterial small subunit ribosomal RNA", at positions 338 to 795 of the family's 1533-position model. The record is from RNAcentral. Lineage: Bacteria; Pseudomonadati; Pseudomonadota; Gammaproteobacteria; Enterobacterales; Enterobacteriaceae.
CCUACGGGUGGCUGCAGUGGGGAAUAUUGCACAAUGGGCGCAAGCCUGAUGCAGCCAUGCCGCGUGUGUGAAGAAGGCCUUCGGGUUGUAAAGCACUUUCAGCGGGGAGGAAGGCGUUAAGGUUAAUAACCUUGGCGAUUGACGUUACCCGCAGAAGAAGCACCGGCUAACUCCGUGCCAGCAGCCGCGGUAAUGCGGAGGGUGCAAGCGUUAAUCGGAAUUACUGGGCGUAAAGCGCACGCAGGCGGUCUGUCAAGUCGGAUGUGAAAUCCCCGGGCUCAACCUGGGAACUGCAUUCGAAACUGGCAGGCUAGAGUCUUGUAGAGGGGGGUAGAAUUCCAGGUGUAGCGGUGAAAUGCGUAGAGAUCUGGAGGAAUACCGGUGGCGAAGGCGGCCCCCUGGACAAAGACUGACGCUCAGGUGCGAAAGCGUGGGGAGCAAACAGGAUUAGAUACCCCGGUAGUC